AACAAUUCCUCCUCCCAACCAAUACAACCUUUUCCGCUCCACUAACCAUAAUCAGAGUGACAUAAGAUAUUUUCUAGAAAUGACAACAUUUAAUGGCUCUCCAUUUCAGGUUUUGAUAAUGGUAAUGGCUAUAGGCUUGUUUUGCAUGACAAAAAUUCUGGCACAAGAUUCAGAAAUAGCGCCCACAUCACAAUUGGAAACUGGAACUGGAUUUGCUUUGCCAAUUUCUGUGGUGAUCAUGUUUUGUUCUGUGCUUGCUUCUUUUAUGGCAUUUAUGAUGCACUGA
Molecule: non-coding RNA, 286 nt
Organism: Vicia faba (fava bean)
Lineage: Eukaryota; Viridiplantae; Streptophyta; Magnoliopsida; Fabales; Fabaceae
Source: the annotation of a GenBank genome assembly